CACUCCUACGGGAGGCAGCAGUGGGGAAUAUUGCACAAUGGGCGCAAGCCUGAUGCAGCCAUGCCGCGUGUAUGAAGAAGGCCUUCGGGUUGUAAAGUACUUUCAGCGGGGAGGAAGGCGAUAAGGUUAAUAACCUUGUUGAUUGACGUUACCCGCAGAAGAAGCACCGGCUAACUCCGUGCCAGCAGCCGCGGUAAUACGGAGGGUGCAAGCGUUAAUCGGAAUUACUGGGCGUAAAGCGCACGCAGGCGGUCUGUCAAGUCGGAUGUGAAAUCCCCGGGCUCAACCUGGGAACUGCAUUCGAAACUGGCAGGCUAGAGUCUUGUAGAGGGGGGUAGAAUUCCAGGUGUAGCGGUGAAAUGCGUAGAGAUCUGGAGGAAUACCGGUGGCGAAGGCGGCCCCCUGGACAAAGACUGACGCUCAGGUGCGAAAGCGUGGGGAGCAAACAGGAUUAGAAACCCUGGUAGUCCCAUGA
RNAcentral lists this ribosomal RNA (475 nucleotides) under uncultured organism. RNAcentral's name for it is "partial 16S ribosomal RNA". It matches the Rfam family "Bacterial small subunit ribosomal RNA", at positions 334 to 800 of the family's 1533-position model. The record is from RNAcentral.